This 1483-nucleotide long non-coding RNA is filed under the name Equus caballus (horse). RNAcentral's name for it is "lncRNA (ENSECAG00000055892.1)". Lineage: Eukaryota; Metazoa; Chordata; Mammalia; Perissodactyla; Equidae. The record is from RNAcentral.
GUAAGUGAAAUUCAGUUCCAGGGUGGGACUCACAAGACAUUGCCUUACCCUUCAGGAAGCUCUUCUUCUAGGAGAUAUUACUUAAUAAUAAUAAUAAUAAUAAUAAUAAAAGUGGCUAUUUAUUUAGGACAUACACUGCCCUGUCAACUUUAUAAAAUAAACCUUUCACUACACAUAGGUUCCUCAGUAUAAGGAAAUGGAAGCUCAGAGAAGGUAAAUGAUAAAUAAAGGGCAGCCAGUCUUCCCGUAGAGGUUGGAAAAAUUCUCCGCGGGCAACUGACCCUCCCCUGGGCUCCAGGCCAUGUUCGGUCUGGAAGCCCUGCAGGUGGAAUUGCUUGGAGGUGUUCAUUUCCUCUUUCCGAAUGUAUGAGUCAAGUCCCCAGGUAGGCUAGAACCACUUUGAGGGCAAGGACAGAAACUUCUACUUCUUUGCCUCCCCAAAUACUAGCUUGGUCUCUUGAAAAGAGUCAAUAUAUACUUAGGGAUGAUUGAAUUAUUGAUUUCUAAAUGGGCAGUCCUGGGUGUUGGUAUGGUCAGGAGGAAACAGAGAGAUCCCACGGAGGAGAAGUCUGUGUGUCACUUCCAGAAGUCCUCAGGGCGGCUGAGGAUCAUUCUACACUCCUGCUUUAAUCAUGCUCAGGCCGUCUGAGUCUGCACCUGGAAGAUUAGCCCUAAGCUAACUGCUGCCAAUCCUCCUCUUUGCACUGAGGAACACUGGCCGUGAUCUAACAUCCGUGCCCAUCUUUCUCUACUUUAUAUGUGGGAUGCCUACCACAGCAUGGUUUGCCAAGCAGUGCCAUGUCCACACCCAGGAUCCAAACCGGCGAACACCGGGCCACUGAAGCGGAACGUGCAAACCUAACCUCUGGGCCAUCGGGCCGGCCCCCAUACCAGCUAGUUUUUAUGGAGCGCUAUAGCAGAUGGUGUGGAUGCCUCAUCUCUGACCUCACCUCCAGCCACAGGGAACAGCUUCUGUGCACACUGGAAACUUCUUAUCUUAAGUGUCCAAGUCUCUUUGUUUCUCUUCUUGCAACCAAAAAAGUUUGUUCAGCUCAUGUGCAAGGCUGCUAGAAGUGCUGAAAAUUAAUGCUCUAGGGUCAACUCUUAAGCAACGAGGGCUGAAAGUCAGUGAAUAAAUACGCCGCUUCACCAUCCCUUGGUCGGAUAAUUCUGAAGGAUGCUUCUCAGAGGGUCUUCAGCAGGACUGAGCCCCAGCUGCCCACAGUGGCAAUCAGCUCACCGAUGCACACUUCAUUGGCAUUCCUCCCUCCCCUGCCUUGCUUCUCCCGCUUUUGUUUCUUGGGAUCAUCUUCUCAAUAAAAUACUUAACCCAGGAUUGCCUCAGGCUUUUCUUUCCAAGGAAUCCAGAGGUAGGUGAGCACAUUGUGACUAAGGCACCAUGUUAGAACAGAGAAACUCUCAAAGAUCUGGUAAUGGAGACAGAGAGGACUAAGAAAAAAUUCAUCACCAGCAGAAUGUGCCC